Molecule: long non-coding RNA, 12094 nt
Organism: Ziziphus jujuba (common jujube)
Lineage: Eukaryota; Viridiplantae; Streptophyta; Magnoliopsida; Rosales; Rhamnaceae
Exons: 4
Source: RefSeq, a predicted model, not a curated record
UUUGAUUAUUCCUGUUUCGCAAAUUUAUUGUUUGGCCAUGCUAUUUUUUAUUUAUUUAUUUUUUUUGCCGUUUUCGAAAUUGAAUUUCGUAUGCGGAUUCAGAAACGAAAUUUGGGACUAGAUUAGGGUAGGUCGAUGAUAAUUUAAUGCUUGCCAUUUUUAAAAUUUUUUUGGUGAAUACUAUUCAUGGAGUAGGUUUGCUUUGGAAAGUUUAUAGUCAUGUGGUUGAAUAUGAUUAUUUCACAGUUCAUGACUAUGUUUAUUGUACAUUGAAGUUAUGCAUUUUUCUUUAAUAAUUUUGUUGGCUCAACCUGAUUGAGUAAUUGAAACACUCAGAGCUUCAAUUUUUGGCUGACACCAUAGCUCUUGCUGUUGCACACAAUAUGGAAUGGUUUAGUUAGGGUUUGGGCACAAUGUGAACACAAGGUUUCAGGUUUUAUCCAGGCAUCCCUUUAUGAUCUUAAUCAUAAGAUUGCAGAACUUUGAUUGAAGGUUGCAGAACUUUGGGUAAAUUGUGUACAUUGAUAUCUUAAUUGAAGUUUGAUUGCUACUGUGUCAGUAUGGGUCUCAGUGGCCUCAUGUUCUUCACUUCUCACUUUCAUUAGUAUGGUUAUCUAGGUGGUUUGAAUGAAUUUAGCAUAUUUUAUGUUAACACUUUGAUUACUCUCGACAUAUGAUUCAUUCUAAGUAACAUCGGUUUUAUUCUGGGUUUCUUCCAUAGUUUCUUUUCAAACCACCAUCCUCGUUACGGUCUGACUGAUCCUUGCUAUUCUUACUCUAUGAUCAAGUGUUUUUGUUUUGGUUGCAGCCAUGGCUGGACUGUUGAUAAUGAAGUUAAGAUGAGCAAUUUAAUUUGUUGGGAAAUUCUGAACCACAAAAAAUUUCUAUGCACUUCAACCUUAUAAGUUAUCUAAGCCUCACAGUUUGCUGAACCAUAUUCAGAAUUUGGACACAGGAUUAAAUGUAUCACCUGCUAAUUAUUUUUAAACCAGUAAUUCAUUAUGUUCAUGUUCUUAGCAAGCAAAAAUUGAUCAGGAUAUUUAUGAACCUUAAGAUAUCAGUUUGAGGUUAUAAUAUUUCAGUGCAAAAAGUUAGACACAUUUUACUUCUUUCCCUUUGGAGAAGUGUCUGGAAAGGUUAGUGGAUUAGUUAUGUAUUGAAUAUUUGGCUAAAUGAAAUUAUCUGGAAGCCUGAGCAAAAUCAAAACCUUUUUCCCAAGAGCAGCAGAACUUAUAGGUAUGCAGCUCACCUGAAAUCAAUUCCUUACAUAAAGGGCAUACACCUAUGAGUCUUUGUUAAGCCAUAGCAACUUUGAUAAUUGAAUUUCCUAUUAAAAUGGAUGUUUGUGGCAGGUAAUUAACAUAUAUAUAUAUAUAUAUAUACGUAUUCCUGUUUUAAAGUACUGCCAAAAUGUGGCUAGUAGGAUUGCAUUUUCUGAUUGCAACUAUGUUUUAGCAUGGCUUCCUUAUUGCAAGUGGCUUUACCUUUAUUUUCUUUGCAUUUCAUUGUAUGAAUCUUCUCAGAAUGAAUUUAUGGGUUCAGUACUAUCUAAGAUUGAGAUCUCAACUGAGUCAGGGUGACAUAUGCCUGACUUUAGGUGUUUAAAAUAAGAGAACUAAAAACUAUAUGAAUUAGGUUAUUCCUAGGAAAACUAAUACAAAUUUAACAUUAAAAUUGUUGACUGAAGUGGAGCAUUCCGAGAAUCGAACUCGGGACCUCUCACACCCAAAGCGAGAAUCAUACCACUAGACCAAAUUCCCAUUACUUACCUACAUUUUUAAAUCAUGAUACUGAUGAAACUUAAGAUGUUGCCAAUUUUAGAUUAUAAUUCUGGUAUUUAGAAGUUUGUUGCCCUUUCAAUUCUUAUCCACUGAUGAAGUGUCUGAACAGGUUAAUAAUUUGGUUGUGUAUUUAUUUGAUGUUAGAAUAGAUUGUCAGAUUUAAAAAUGCGCCAGGGGAAGAAGACUGAAAUCCUUGACUUGGAAUGAUGCAUCUUUGUGAUUCAGCAAACUUGGCAUGCUUAUUGGGUAAAAAAGGGCUCUUCAUUUUUCUUGUAGCAACGAGAUAACAUGGCAUGGCCACCACAAUACAAGUCUUUAUAGCUUGUUUUGCACUUUAUUAUUGAAAGCUUGUCAAAAUUUUAUUUUAUAUGGACUUACUACCGUAAAAAUACUGCAGGUCUGCCCCGCUUAAAGCAUUAAAAAAUAAGAUAACUAAAAAGCUUAAGGAUUACACGAUUCCUAUAAAUAAUAAUAAUAAUAAAGUAAAAUUAUUUUAAGUGGAGCAUUCCAAGAAUUGAACUUGGGAUCUCUCGCACCCUAAGUGGGAAUCAUACCACUAGACCAAUGCCCGCCUCUGGCUUUAGCGAUGUUGUACUGAAAGUAAUAUGUUCAAGGGUUUAUUUCUUUUCCCCACCUUUUUUUUUUUGGCCCUCCCUUGUGCGGUCACUCUGGUUGCUUUAAUGAUCAACUUUUCCUUCUCUACUUUCUUCAUUGAGGCUUAUAAGGCAGCCUUGGUGUUAUAUCAAAACACUUGUAAAAAAAUUGGUCAAUGAGUGAUCUAUCUGAAAUUAUGUCUUUUAUUUUACUGCUGGGUGGUGACUACCAUGAUGUUGUCAACAUUAUGGAAAAUUACAAUACAGUGAAUGCAUUGAGCUGCUUUUAUAAGGUGUCAAAUAUUGGUUUUAUGUUAUGUUUUCUAUAUCAACGUCUGUUCACAUGUUUCCAAAUUUGGACAGGCUUCAAUGGACAGGUAACAUUUGAGUAAGAUCAUCUAAUGUUUAGUGCUGGUUGCUUUUUAAUUAUUCUUUCCCAUUGUCAAUCUUUUUCACAUGCAACUACUUUUAUAUGCUCAUUUUGUAUGGUGUUGUAAUAUUUGGUCUAAUGUUUGGCAUAGUAGAUGGAAAUAAGAAAGAUCAGUACUGCACCCAGCACAGCUCAACUUAAAUUUCGGUGAUUUCAGCUGCCUAAAUUAUCUCCCUUUAAAAAAAAAAAAAUUGUUAAGAAAAGAUGGUCAAUGUGAUUUUUCUUUUUAAAAUGUAUUUGUACCUUCAUUAUCCACUGCAUAUGUGUUUUCAAAUUUGCUAUCAAAAUCGAGACUUAGGCAAAUGCGAUAAAAAAAAGAAAAGAAAAAGAAGUUCUUGUUGAAUGUUUAUUGCAAUAUUGGCAGAAUUUCAUUUUUCUGGCAUUAAUGGGUUUACAGCUAUAUUCUAGCAUGGGCACAUUACUAUUGGGGUCUCUAGAUUGUGUUCAUUUACUGCUAAUUUAUGUGGUUGUCUGGACUAAAAGUUUAUGAAUGCUUUACUCUCUAAUAUUGCAGGUCUAAGCUAACUCAGGACCCGGCCACUUGCUUAAAGCCUAUAAAAUAUCGGAACUGAACCAUACUGGUGAGUAGAUUCCGGGAAAUAAAAUUUAAAAUAAGCGUGAAACUUUUAUACUAGUAUGAAAUAACAACAAAACUAUACCAGGUCUAGACACCAAACCAAACAUAAAUAAAGUUAACAUAAAAUUAGCUAAUAAAGCGGGGGCAAUCUGAGAAUCAAAAUCGGGACCUCUUGCUCUCAAAGCGAGAAUCAUACAACUAGACCAAGUGCCCACUUAUGAGUUAUGUUUUCAAAUCGUGACUCAUGAACCUUAAAUAUCAAUUUUAAAUAAUGAUUUCUCAGUUUUCUAAAGUCCAUAACCUUUUUACUUCUUAUCCACUGAUGAAGUUUCUGGACAAGUUAAUGCUUCAGUUAUUGUAUUCAUGUGAUGCUAAAAUAGAUGUCCAGAUUUCAAUAUUAGCCAGGGGAGAAGGAUCAAAAUCCUUUGACUUGGAAUGCUGCAAUUUAAGUUAUGUGAUUCUGCCACUGACCAGAAACAGCUCCUUAGGUAUGAAAAGUGACACCUACAUUCUUCAUAAAAUCUUGUUAUGUUUACCUUUGUUACGCCAUAACAGAUUCAGUGAUUGAAUUUAGUUUUGACAUGGAUGUUUACAACAUGUGCACAAACACAAUAUUCCUGGCUGAGAGUUUCAUGAAUGUGACUGACAGGGUGUUUCAUUUCUGGUAGCAAUGAGAUAACAAGUAUGCCUUUGGCAUGACCAAAUCAAUAUAAGUGUCAAUAGCUUGUUUUGGCCUUUGGUUAUUGAAAUCAUGUCGGAAGUAAUUUUAUAUGGGUUCAGUAUUAUUUAAUAUUUCACGUCCUUAACUGGUACAAGGCCAUGUCCCCUGCAUAGAACGCAUUAUAAAAUAAGAAAACUGAAAACUAUAAGUAUAAGGCAGAGUAGAUUUUUCCAAAAAUUAAUUAAAGAUAACAUAAAAGUUUCCGAGAAGUGGGGCAUUCUGAGAAUCGAACUCAGGACCUCUCGCACCCAAAGCGAGAAUCAUACCACUAGACCAAAUGCCCAUUGCUGACUUACAUUUUUAAAUCAUGAUAUGAUGAACUUUAAGAUAUUGUCUUUAGAUUAUAUUUUCCCAGUAUUUAGAAGUUCGUUACCAUUUCACUUCUCUCUCACUAAUGAGUGUCUGGACAGGUUAAUUAUUUGGUUUUUGUAUUAAUUAGAUGCUAGAAUAGAUCGUCAGAUUUAAACAUGAACAGGGGAGGAAGACCAAAAUCCUUUGACUUGGAAUCAUGCAACUUAAAGCUCUGUGUUGCUGCAAACUUAAUUUGCUUCAUGGGUGAAAGAAGAUCAACCUCUAUUCCUAUGUUUCAAAACUUGGACAGGCAUCAAUGAAAAGGCCAUAAGAGAUUCAGUAAUUGAAUUUGGUGUUGAGAUGGAUGUUUACAACAUGUGCACAAAACCAAUGUUCCUGGUUGAAAGCAUCAUGAGUGUGACUGGCAGGGUUUCAUUUCUGAUAGCAAUGAGAUAACAAGUAUGCCUUUGGCAUGGCCACAUCAAUGUAAGUGUCAAUAGAUUGUUUUUCCCUAUGUUAUUGAACUCAUAUCAGAAUAAUUUUAUAAGAAUAUUUAGUAUUUUACGUCCUUAACUGAUAUAGGGCUGGGCCAACAUGUGCAGAAUGCAUUAUAAAAUAAGAAAACUGAAAACUAUAAGGAAGGGUAGAUUGUUACCAAAAAUUAAAUCAAAGUUAAUAUAAACCUUCCUGAGAAGUGGGGCAUUCCGAGAAUCGAACUCGGGACCUCUCGCACCCAAAGCGAGAAUCAUACCACUAGACCAAAUGCCCAUUGCUGGCUUUGCUGAUGUUUAAAUUACAAUUAGUAUGUUCAAAGAGGAAUUAAUUAAUUUCUUUUGCUUGUCUGGUCUCUCCUGUUUCUUUUAUGAACAUCUAUAUUUUUUCUUCUUUAUUCCUAGAGACUUUUUAUGCAGAUUUGGCCUUGAUGUUGACUAAAUUAGAGUGAUUAUCCAAAUGUACUAUGUCUUACUGCUUGUUUCUGGUAACCAUAUUCUGAUUCCAUCAAUAUUAGGUAAAAUUACAAUUCUAUUGACAAGAUGUUAAAAUGUUAUUUUCAAUGCAAGUGAAAUUUUUAAAAUUUACUGAAAAUAAAAGAUAAAAAGAUUGAUAACAUGUUACAUUAUGCUUUAUAGAUCAGCUCCGAAUAUAAAUCUUCUGAAGUAAUCUGUUGCUCUAUUCACAUAUUUUAAAUUUUUACAGGCAUUGUAGAAAAAAAUAAUUUUUAAGUAAUUAUCACUUGGAGUUCAGAGCUGGUUGCUUUUUAGCCUUGUUAUCCAUUGAUAAAUCAUCUUGACAGAUAACUAGUUUCUCUGUUGUAUUUAUUUGGUCUGCUGUUUUGAUAAUUAGAAUGAUAUUUGGCAUAUUAGGCAGGAAUGAAAGAUCAGAAUCCUUAAAGAAUGGUCAUUUUUGUGUGGCUUAAAUUAGUCUCCAUUUUUUUUUUUUUUUGGGGGAAUUGGCUUAAACCGGCCUCCUAUUUAUGAAAAGAUGGUCACUUCUGGUUUCCUUGUUAAUUGUAUUUGAAUUUUAUCCUUAUUUGAUCAUUGCAUAUGUGGUUUUGAAUUUGUUAUCAAAAUGGAUACUUAAAUCAUGCUAAUCAGAAAAUAAAUAAAAUAUAUAUAUAUAUAUAUAUAUUCUCAUGUUGUUUAUGCUCAAGUAUUGGCAGGCUUGAAUUUUUCUGGCAUUAAUGCAGUUACAGCUAAGUAUUUACAUCUCUAGAUUGUUUUUAUUUGUCUAUCAUUCAUGAGGUUGUCAGAAUUAAACUAUUGUGAAUGCAUAAUUACCAUCAAAUAAUGCAUGUUUUCAGCUGACGUGUUACUAGCCUACCUACGUAAAGAAUUCAAAUAUCAUAAAUAACUGUACUGGUCCAGAUUCCUGGUCAUAAGAAGCUAACAAUACAUCAAACUUGUUAGGGCUGUAUUAAAUAACUGAACCAAAACUGUAUUUUAUUAGAAUAUUACCAUCCAAAAAUAAAUUAUAUAUAGAAAUAACAUUUGAUUAGCUAAGAAAAAAGGGGCAUUCCGAGAAUCGAACUCGGGACCUCUCGCACCCAAAGCGAGAAUCAUACCACUAGACCAAAUGCCCACUUGUUUUGUAGUGUUUACUUCUUCCGUUUUUGUCUUGAAGUUCCCUCCCCUUUCCCUCACCCCAUCUACAUGUCUUGUUUCAAGAAAUUCAACAUGUGCUGCAAUUGCUGCCUAUGUUAGAGGAUUAAUUAUAAAAGUUGUGACUAAGGACCGAAUAUAAGAGAUAUGGUCAAAAUGAUUCAGUUGUCCAAAAGUGGGGCAUUCCGAGAUUGAACUUGUGACAUACCACUAGACCAAAUGCCCACCACUGGCUUUAAUAAUGUUUGUACUAAAAGUAAUAUGCUCAACAAGGGUUUCGUUCUUUUCUUGGUCAGGCACUCCUGUUGCAUUAAUGAUCAACCUUAUAAUGCAGCCUUGGUGUUGUAUCAAAACACUCUUAAAAAUGCAUUACGGGUUGAUUUUCUGAAAUUAUGUAUUUUAUCAUACUGCUGGGUAUCAUGGUGUCAUCAAGAUGAUGGAAAAUUACAAUACAGUCAGUACAUUGGGCUGCUUUUAUAAGGCGUAAGAUGCUGUUUCAAAACAAAAAUUUUAACCUAGAUACAAAAGGACAAUCAUAUGUUGUCUAGAUCAACCUCAGUUCUCAUGUUUCAAAGGUUGGACAGGCAUCGAUGACAAGGUAACGUUUGAGUAAUCAUCAUCUACCAUUGAGAGCUGGUUGCCUUUUAGUAUUUCUUUCCCAUUGUUGAAUUAUUUUUACAUGCAACUACUUUUGAUUGCUCAUUUAGUUGGGUGUUGUAAUGCAUGAUCUGAUAUUUGGCAUAAAAAGAUAGAAAUGAGAAAGAUCAGUAUUGCACACAAUGCAGCUCAACUUAAAAGUUUGGCGAUUCAGUUGCUUAAAUGACUCCUAUUAAAAAAAAAAAAAUGAAAAAGAAAAAGAAAAAGGAAAAGAAAGAAAAAAAGAUGGCCAGUUUGGAUUUUCUUUCUAUAAGUAUUUAUACCUUUGUUUCCAUUGCAUAUGUGUUUUCAAAUUUGCUAUCAAGGUGAAUGAUUAGACAAGUUGGGUAAAAAGAAUGUUCUUGGUCCAAUGUUUUGCCAAAAAGUGGCAGAAUUUCAUUUUCUUGCGUUAAUCGGUUUAAGCUAUGUUCUAGCAUGCCCACGGUACUUUUACAGUCUCUAGAUUGUGUUGAUUUCGUGACAUUGUCAGAAAUAAAAAUUUAUCAAUACUUCGUUGUUUAAUAUUGCAGGUCCCAAGUCAAUUGUCUAAUAUUGCAGGUCCUAAGCUGACUCAGGACCAGACUUAUAAAUUAUCAAUCAGAACACUGUUCUGGUGAGUAGAUUCCUGGCAAUAAAAUUUAAAACAAUCAUGAAAUUUAUUAAAUUACUAUUAAAUGGCUGUCAAAACUGUAUUGAUUAGCAUACAAUAAACCGAAUAAUAUAAAUAAAAUUAACAUAAAUUUAGCUUAUAAAUGGCAACCAAAACUGUACCAGUUAGCAUAAAAUAAACUGAAUAGUAGAAACAAAAUUAACUAGCUUUAUAAAGUAGGGCUAUCCAAGAAUAAACUCGGAACCUCUCUCAUCAAAAGCAAGAAUCAUACCACUAGAUCAAAUACCAAUAUUUAAUUUCUUAUUUUCAGUCUUGUUAUCCAUUGAUAGGUCAUCUUGACAGGUAAAUCAUUUAAUGAGAGAUUGGAAUCCUUCAACUUUGGUGAUUUACUUAUAAAUGUAUUUGAAUGUUAUUUUUGUUUGACCAUUGUAUAUGUCCUUUGUGGUUUUGAAUUUGUUAUUGAAAUGGAUACUUACAGCAUGCACGUAAAAAAUAAUAAUAAUAAUUGUUAUUAUUAUCUUCCCAUGUUGUUUAUGCUAAAGAAUUGGCAGGCUUGCAGUUUUCUGGCAUUAAUGCAGUUACAGCUAAGUAUUGCAUCUCUGGAUUUUUAUUUUUUUAUUUUUUUAUUUAUUAAUCAUUCAUCAGGUUGUCAGAAAUAAACUAUUGUGAAAACUUAUUACCAAAAAUCUUAAUAAUAAUAAUAAUAAUAAUAAUAAUAAUAAUAAUAAUAAUAAUAAUAAUAUUGUGAAUACAUUAUUACAAUAUAAAAUUGUAGGUCCUUCAGCUGAUUUGGUGCUGGCCAAGGAUUUAAAAUUUUAUAAAUAACUGUACUGGUUAGAGAUUCCUAUGUACAAGAAGCUAAUAAUAUAUCAAACUUGUCAGAUUGUAUUCAAGAGCAGAAACAAAACUGUAGUCAUUAGCAUAUUACUAGCCAAAAAGUGAUAAUAAAUAGAAAUAACAUAGAUUAGCUAAGAGAGCAGGGGCAUUCCGAGAAUUGAACUCAGAACCAUUCACACCCAAAGCGAGAAUCAUACCACUAGAUCAAAUGCCCACUUGUCUUGUAGUGGGCCAUCAUCAAAAUAUUAGAGCCAUCAUCAAAACAAUUUAGUUUUCCAAAAGUGGGGCAUUCCGAGAAUUGAACUCGGGACCUCUCGCCCCCUAAGCGAGAAUCAUACCACUAGACCAAAUGCCCGCUGCUAGCUUUAAUGAUGCUUGCACUAAAAGUAAUAUGUUCAACAAGGGUUUAAUUGUUUUCUUGUUCAGUCACUCCUGUUGCAUAAAUGAUCAACCUUUCUUUCUCCACUUUCUUCAUUGAGGCUUAUAGUGCAGCCUUGGUGUGGUACCAAAAUACUUGUAAAAAAAGGCCUUAAGGAUUGAUUUGUCUGAAAUUAUGUAUUUUAUCAUAUUGCUUAAUGUUUGUGACCAUUGUGAUGUCAUGAAGAUGAUGGAAAAUUACCACAGAGUCAGUGCGUUGAGCUGCUUUUAUAAGGUGUCAAAUAUUAGUUUCCAUGCAAGCAAUCUUUUCAAAUUUACAAAAAUUUUAACAGAUACAAAAUUACAAACUCUUGUGUUAUGUUUUCUAGAUCAACCUCUAUUCACAUGUUCCAAAGGUUGGACAGGCAUCAAUGAAAAGGCAACAUUUGAGUAAUCAUCAACUACUGUUGAGAGCUGGUUGCCUUUAGUACUUCUUUCCCAUUGUUGAAUUAUUUUGGCAUGCAGCUACUUUUGUUUGCUCAUUUAGUCGGGUGUUGCAAUACAUGGUUUGAUAUUUGGCAUAGUAGAUAGAAAUAAGAAAGGUCAGUAUUUCACACUGUGCAGCUCAACUUAAAUUUUGGUGAUUUUUGAUGCUUGAAUGACUCCUAUUAUUAAAAAAAAAAAAAAAAAAAAAAAAAGAUUGUCAAUUUGGAUUUUCUUUUUGAAAAAGAUGUUAUUGUCCAAUAUUUUGCCGAAUGUUGGUAGAAUUUCAUUUUUCUUGCAUUAAAGAGGUCAGCUAUGUACUAGCAUGCCCACAGUAAUAUUAGGGUAUCUAGAUUGUGUUGAUCUGCCGUUAUUUUGUGAGAUUGUCAGAAAUAAAUAUUUAUACUUCACUGUUUAAUAUUGCAUGUCCUUAGCAGACUCAGUACCAGGCCUUUAAAAUAUCAGAACUGUUCUGGUAAGUAGAUUCCUGGCAAUGAAAUUUAAAAUAAGCAUGAAACUUAUUAAAUGAGUAUUAAAUGGCAACCAAAACUGUACUGGUUAGCAUACAGUAUAGCGAAUAAUAUAAAUAAAAUUAGCUUAUAAAGUAGGGGUAUUCCAAGAAACAGACUUGGGACCUUUCGCACCGAAAGCAGGAAUCAUACCACUAGACCAUCGUGUUACCCCUUGAUAAAUCAUCUUGAAAGGUAACUCAUUUAAUGAGAGAUCAGAAUCCUUCAAGUUUGGUGAAUUUCUUAAUAAGUAUCUGAAUUUUAUCUUUAUUUGACCAUUGAAUAUGUUGUAUGUGGUUUUGCAUUUGUUAUCAUAAUUGAUACUUAUACCAUGCUAGUCAAAUAUAUAUAUAUAUAUAUAUAUCAUUCUUGUUGUUUAUGCAAAAGAUUUGGCAGGCUUUCAGUUUUCUUGCAUUGAAGUAUUUGCAUCUCUAGAUUGUUUUUAGUUUGUAAUGUUUGUUAAAAGAACUUGGCAGGCUUGCGUUUUUCUUGAAUUAUUAAUAUGAUUAUAGCUUAAUAUUAGCCUUUCUAGAUGGUGUUUAUUUCCAAUAAACAUUGAUGAGGUUGUCAGAAAUAAACUAAAAUAAGAAUACAUUACUACCUUUUAAUAUUGCAGGUCUUCAGCUGACUUUGGACCACCCCACCUACUUUAUAGCAUAUAAAAUGUGGUAUGGUAAAUAGCUAUACUGAUUUGAGAUUCCUGGCAACUAGAAGUUAAUAAUACAUGGAAUUUAGAGUGAGAUUCCUAGCAACAAGAAGUUAGUAAAACAUGGAAUUUAGAGGAGUAUUAAUAACUGAAACAACAGUGUAUUCAUUAGAGUAUUGACAUCCAAAAAUAAAUUAUAUAUAGAAAUAACAUUUUACAAGCCAAGGAAACAGGGGCAUUCCGAGAAUCGAACUCGGGACCUCUCGCACCCAAAGCGAGAAUCAUACCACUAGACCAAAUGCCCGUUUGUGUUCUUAUUUUUAGAUCCAAUUCCUUCUAUUCAUUUUCUCUGUGUUUUUUCCCGUCCUGUUUUAAAAAAUCUAACAUGUAAUGCAUUUGUUACCUGUGUUAGAGACUUAAGCAUAAAAGUUGUCACAAUGGAUCUAAUGUGAGAGCUAUUUGCUGAAAACAGUCAGUUGUUGCCUGUGGUGAUUGGUUAAGUACCUUGAUCUAACAUUUGUAUGAAAGCAAAAACAAUCAGACAAGUAAAAAACCCGUUGCUUUGUUCACAUAUUUUAAGUUUUCUUAUGCUUUGAUUAAUGAUCUUGAUAGGUAACGAGCUUUUUUUGUUCAAUUGUUGUCUUGUUAUACUGAACCGGCAUUUAGCAUAUUAGGCAGGAAUGAGAGAUCAGAACAGUUGAGGUUUUGGUGAUUUUUCCAGGGGCCUGAAUCGGUCUCCUAUUUAUGAAAAAAUUGUCAAUUUGGGUUCUCUUAUUAAAGCGUAUUAAUAUCUUUGUUUGACAAUUGCAUGUGAGGUUAUUGGAAUUCACUAUCAUAAUCGAUAAUUAUGGCAUGCAAAUAAAAUCAAAUAUGGUCAGUGACCUUAAGCAGUCUCCUAUUUAUCAGAAGAUGGUCAAUUAGGGUUUUGUGAAGUAGGGUUUUGUGAGUGCCUCUAUUUGACCAUUGCAUAUGCGGUUAUUGAAUUUGCUAGCGAAAUGAAUAUUUUUACGGCAUGCAAGUCAAAAGAAUUAUUCCUAUCUCUUAUUGUUUGUGCCAAAUCAAUUGUUUGGCUUGCAUAUUUCUGGCUUUAAUGAGGAUACAGCUAUGUUCUAGGGUGGCACGUUAGCUAAUGCUAUUCAUUUAUGAAUUGUCAGAUAUAAACUAUUAGGAAGUACCAUCUAACAUUGCAGGUCUUCAGCUGACUCGGGACCAGGUCAAUUGCUCAAAACAAUAUAAAAUUAUCAGAAAGUCACUAUACUGGUUAGUGAUUCUUUAUUUAUUUAUUUAGUUUUUUGCGUACGAUAAUGGUUAGUGAUUCCUGUAAACAAGAUUAAAAAAUGCAUAUGAAAUUGAUUGGAGCUGUAUUAAAUAACAAUGUAUUCCUAAGAGGCUAGGCCAAAAAUUUAAUUUGUCUUUAAAAAAACAAAAGAAAAAUGGGGUUUGGCCAGAAAGCAGGGGCAUUCCGAGAAACGAGAAUCAUAGCACUAGACCAAAUGCCCGGGGGCAGUUAAGUGUCUAUUUUCA